UACGGAGGGGGCUAGCGUUGUUCGGAAUUACUGGGCGUAAAGCGUACGUAGGCGGCUUUGUAAGUUAGAGGUGAAAGCCCGGGGCUCAACUCCGGAAUUGCCUUUAAGACUGCAUCGCUUGAAUCAUGGAGAGGUGAGUGGAAUUCCGAGUGUAGAGGUGAAAUUCGUGGAUAUCGAGAAGAACACUUAGGGCGAAGGCAAGACUCUGGACAAAUGCUGACGCUCAUGCACGAAGGCUAGGGUAGCGAACGGG
RNAcentral lists this ribosomal RNA (253 nucleotides) under uncultured bacterium. Its description in RNAcentral is "partial 16S ribosomal RNA". It matches the Rfam family "Bacterial small subunit ribosomal RNA", at positions 524 to 776 of the family's 1533-position model. The record is from RNAcentral.